This 858-nucleotide ribosomal RNA is filed under the name Escherichia coli. RNAcentral describes it as "partial 23S ribosomal RNA". It matches the Rfam family "Bacterial large subunit ribosomal RNA", at positions 55 to 954 of the family's 2925-position model. The record is from RNAcentral. Lineage: Bacteria; Pseudomonadati; Pseudomonadota; Gammaproteobacteria; Enterobacterales; Enterobacteriaceae.
GACGUGCUAAUCUGCGAUAAGCGUCGGUAAGGUGAUAUGAACCGUUAUAACCGGCGAUUUCCGAAUGGGGAAACCCAGUGUGUUUCGACACACUAUCAUUAACUGAAUCCAUAGGUUAAUGAGGCGAACCGGGGGAACUGAAACAUCUAAGUACCCCGAGGAAAAGAAAUCAACCGAGAUUCCCCCAGUAGCGGCGAGCGAACGGGGAGCAGCCCAGAGCCUGAAUCAGUGUGUGUGUUAGUGGAAGCGUCUGGAAAGGCGCGCGAUACAGGGUGACAGCCCCGUACACAAAAAUGCACAUGCUGUGAGCUCGAUGAGUAGGGCGGGACACGUGGUAUCCUGUCUGAAUAUGGGGGGACCAUCCUCCAAGGCUAAAUACUCCUGACUGACCGAUAGUGAACCAGUACCGUGAGGGAAAGGCGAAAAGAACCCCGGCGAGGGGAGUGAAAAAGAACCUGAAACCGUGUACGUACAAGCAGUGGGAGCACGCUUAGGCGUGUGACUGCGUACCUUUUGUAUAAUGGGUCAGCGACUUAUAUUCUGUAGCAAGGUUAACCGAAUAGGGGAGCCGAAGGGAAACCGAGUCUUAACUGGGCGUUAAGUUGCAGGGUAUAGACCCGAAACCCGGUGAUCUAGCCAUGGGCAGGUUGAAGGUUGGGUAACACUAACUGGAGGACCGAACCGACUAAUGUUGAAAAAUUAGCGGAUGACUUGUGGCUGGGGGUGAAAGGCCAAUCAAACCGGGAGAUAGCUGGUUCUCCCCGAAAGCUAUUUAGGUAGCGCCUCGUGAAUUCAUCUCCGGGGGUAGAGCACUGUUUCGGCAAGGGGGUCAUCCCGACUUACCAACCCGAUGCAAAC